AGCGAACGCUGGCGGCAGGCCUAACACAUGCAAGUCGAACGAACCUUUCGGGGUUAGUGGCGGACGGGUGAGUAACACGUGGGAACGUGCCUUUAGGUACGGACUAACUCAGGGAAACUUGUGCUAAUACCGAAUGUGCCCUUCGUGGGAAAGAUUAAUCGCCUAUAGAGCGGCCCGCGUCUGAUUAGCUAGUUGGUUGAGGUAAUGGCUCACCAAGGCGACGAUCAGUAGCUGGUCUGUGAGGAUGAUCAGCCACAUUGGGACUGAGACACGGCCCAAACUCCUACGGGAGGCAGCAGUGGGGAAUCUUGCGCAAUGGGCGAAAGCCUGACGCAGCCAUGCCGCGUGAAUGAUGAAGGUCUUAGGAUUGUAAAAUUCUUUCUCCGGGGACGAUAAUGACGGUACCCGGAGAAGAAGCCCCGGCUAACUUCGUG
This 434-nucleotide ribosomal RNA is filed under the name uncultured bacterium. RNAcentral's name for it is "partial 16S ribosomal RNA". It matches the Rfam family "Bacterial small subunit ribosomal RNA", at positions 29 to 507 of the family's 1533-position model. The record is from RNAcentral.